UACGGAGGGUGCGAGCGUUGUCCGGAAUCACUGGGCGUAAAGGGCGCGUAGGCGGCCUGAUAAGUAGGGGGUGAAAUCCUGCGGCUUAACCGCAGGGCUGCCUUCUAAACUGUCAGGCUAGAGCACAGUAGAGGCAGGUGGAAUUCCCGGUGUAGCGGUGGAAUGCGUAGAGAUCGGGAAGAACAUCAGUGGCGAAGGCGGCCUGCUGGGCUGUUGCUGACGCUGAGGCGCGACAGCGUGGGGGGCAAACAGG
This 253-nucleotide ribosomal RNA is filed under the name uncultured bacterium. RNAcentral describes it as "partial 16S ribosomal RNA". It matches the Rfam family "Bacterial small subunit ribosomal RNA", at positions 524 to 776 of the family's 1533-position model. The record is from RNAcentral.